This is a non-coding RNA of Phrynosoma platyrhinos (Desert horned lizard), 72 nucleotides long. The record is from the annotation of a GenBank genome assembly. Lineage: Eukaryota; Metazoa; Chordata; Lepidosauria; Squamata; Phrynosomatidae.
GCCAGUGUGGCAUAGUGGUUUGAGUGAUGGACUACAGCUCUGGAGACCAGGGUUCGAUUCCCAACUCAUCCA